CAAUAGCGUAUAUUAAAGUUGUUGCAGUUAAAAAGCUCGUAGUUGGAUUUCUGGUGGGAGCGAUCGGUCUGGCGCUUAGCGCGAGUACUUGCAUCGUCUCCGGCCAUCCUUGGGGAGAGUCUGUCUGGCAUUAGGUUGUCGGGCAGAGGAUCCUCAUCGUUUACUGUGAAAAAAUUAGAGUGUUCAAAGCAGGCUUAUGCCGUUGAAUAUAUUAGCAUGGAAUAAUAAGAUAGGACUUUGGUACUAUUUUGUUGGUUUGCGCACCAAAGUAAUGAUUAAUAGGGACAGUUGGGGGUAUUCGUAUUCCGAUGUCAGAGGUGAAAUUCUUGGAUUUACGGAAGACGAACUACUGCGAAAGCAUUUACCAAGGAUGUUUUCAUUAA
This 383-nucleotide ribosomal RNA is filed under the name uncultured eukaryote. RNAcentral describes it as "partial 18S ribosomal RNA". It matches the Rfam family "Eukaryotic small subunit ribosomal RNA", at positions 592 to 976 of the family's 1831-position model. The record is from RNAcentral.